CAUGAAGCUGGAAUCGCUAGUAAUCGUAGAUCAGCAUGCUACGGUGAAUACGUUCCCGGGUCUUGUACACACCGCCCGUCACACCACGAGAGUUUGUAACACCCGAAGCCGGUGGAGUAACCAUUUAUGGAGCUAGCCGUCGAAGGUGGGACAAAUGAUUGGGGUGAAGUCGUAACAAGGUAGCCGUAUCGGAAGGUGCGGCUGGAUCACCUCCUUUCUAAGGA
Molecule: ribosomal RNA, 224 nt
Filed under: Staphylococcus cohnii
Lineage: Bacteria; Bacillati; Bacillota; Bacilli; Caryophanales; Staphylococcaceae
Description: partial 16S ribosomal RNA
Rfam family: Bacterial small subunit ribosomal RNA
Source: RNAcentral